GACGAACCGUGCGAACGUUGUUCGGAAUCACUGGGCUUAAAGGGCGCGUAGGCGGGUCGGCAAGUCAGGGGUGAAAGCCCGCAGCUCAACUGCGGAAGCGCCUUUGAUACUGCCGGUCUCGAGGGAGGUAGGGGAGUGCGGAACUUCCGGUGGAGCGGUGAAAUGCGUAGAUAUCGGAAGGAACACCGGUGGCGAAAGCGGCGCUCUGGACCUCUUCUGACGCUGAGGCGCGAAAGCUAGGGGAGCAAACGGG
This 253-nucleotide ribosomal RNA is filed under the name uncultured bacterium. RNAcentral's name for it is "partial 16S ribosomal RNA". It matches the Rfam family "Bacterial small subunit ribosomal RNA", at positions 524 to 776 of the family's 1533-position model. The record is from RNAcentral.